Molecule: ribosomal RNA, 446 nt
Filed under: uncultured bacterium
Lineage: Bacteria
Description: partial 16S ribosomal RNA
Rfam family: Bacterial small subunit ribosomal RNA
Source: RNAcentral
CCUACGGGGGGCAGCAGUCGAGAAUCAUUCACAAUGGGGGAAACCCUGAUGGUGCGACGCCGCGUGGGGGAAUGAAGGUCUUCGGAUUGUAAACCCCUGUCAUGUGGGAGCAAAUUAAAAAGAUAGUACCACAAGAGGAAGAGACGGCUAACUCUGUGCCAGCAGCGGCGGUAAUCCAGAGGUCUCAAGCGUUGUUCGGAAUCACGGGGCGUAAAGCGUGCGUAGGCUGUUUCGUAAGUCGUGUGUGAAAGGCGCGGGCUCAACCCGCGGACGGCACAUGAUACUGCGAGACUAGAGUAAUGAAGGGGGAACCGGAAUUCUCGGUGUAGCAGUGAAAUGCGUAGAUAUCGAGAGGAACACUCGUGGCGAAGGCGGGUUCCUGGACAUUAACUGACGCUGAGGCACGAAGGCCAGGGGAGCGAAAGGGAUUAGAUACCCCAGUAGUC